GACGAACGCUGGCGGCGUGGAUUAGGCAUGCAAGUCGAACGGUAUCAUCCUUUCGGGGGUGAGAGAGUGGCGAACUGGUGAGUAACACGUAGGUUAUCUACCCUCAAGACGGGGACAACCCAGGGAAACUUGGGCUAAUACCGGAUGUGAGCAACUUUUAGUUGUUUGAAAGGUGGCGUAAGCUGUCGCUUGGGGAUGAGCCUGCGUCCUAUUAGUUAGUUGGUGAGGUAACGGCUCACCUAGGCAAUGAUAGGUAGGCGGCCUUAACGGGUGGUCGCCCACACUGGGAUUGAGAUACGGCCCAGACUCCUACGGGAGGCAGCAGUCGAGAAUAGUCUACAAUGGUCGGAAGACUGAUAGUGCGACGCCGCGUGAACGAUGAAUCCCUUCGGGGUGUAAAGUUCUUUUAUAUGUGAGCAGUGCUUCUUAUAUUAACAGUAUGGGGAGAGAGAUAUUAGCAUAUGAAUAAGCAAACGGCUAAACUCCGUGCCCAGCAGCCCGGGUAAA
This 507-nucleotide ribosomal RNA is filed under the name uncultured bacterium. RNAcentral's name for it is "bacterial SSU rRNA". It matches the Rfam family "Bacterial small subunit ribosomal RNA", at positions 28 to 524 of the family's 1533-position model. The record is from RNAcentral.